This 712-nucleotide long non-coding RNA is filed under the name Callithrix jacchus (white-tufted-ear marmoset). RNAcentral's name for it is "lncRNA (ENSCJAG00000077725.1)". Lineage: Eukaryota; Metazoa; Chordata; Mammalia; Primates; Cebidae. The record is from RNAcentral.
AUGACAGUCUCAAAAUGUAUUUGUUUUGAUGGCCUUGAAGCUAGCGUUGUAUAUUUUGAAGAAUGUCUCUCAGUUGGAUUGUCUGAUGUUUUUCCCACGAUUAGACUGGAUGACGGGUUUUGGGGAGGAAGACCACAAAGGAAAUUGAAAGACGAUACAUGAAGUGUCUUCAGGUUUCCACGGAAAUGGAAUUAAAUGAGAAACAUGUGGCACUUUCUGAUGGAUACAGAUCAUCCUGAAAUCACUUCACAUCUGCUGGCUAAAUAGAGAAAUAACUAUAAAUCUUUUCAAAAACAAAGGAAAGAAAAAUGUAGGAAAUACAUCAAGUAAUACCUUUAUGGCACCAUUCCUAUGACUCUAUAAAGAGGGUUAUUUAUAAUGGUGGAAUUAUUUGUCACACAUCAUAUAAAAAAAGAAAAUUAAAAUUAUCGAUGGGUUAUAAUGGUAAACAUGAUCUUGUAAACUCUAAAUAUUUCACCUUACUAGAUGUACACCUUAGUUUUCAUUUUUAGCAACAUUUUAAAAAGUAGAGAUGUAUGAAUAUUCAGCAUGGUUUAAUCUGAGAUCAUUUGAAUAUUUUUAAAACAAUCCUUAGUAAAAAUUUAAAUAAGUUUAUCUUGUCCUCAUGUUUGUGUGUGUGCCUAUAGGGCUAUUCUGAAGUAAUGUUAAUGGUGAAAAAUGUAUGCUAUGGAAUAAAUUCUUUAUAACUGUA